AGUGAGCGCUGGCGGUAGGCCUAACACAUGCAAGUCGAACGGCAGCACAGUAAGAGCUUGCUCUUACGGGUGGCGAGUGGCGGACGGGUGAGGAAUACAUCGGAAUCUACUUUUUCGUGGGGGAUAACGUAGGGAAACUUACGCUAAUACCGCAUACGACCUACGGGUGAAAGCAGGGGAUCUUCGGACCUUGCGCGAUUGAAUGAGCCGAUGUCGGAUUAGCUAGUUGGCGGGGUAAAGGCCCACCAAGGCGACGAUCCGUAGCUGGUCUGAGAGGAUGAUCAGCCACACUGGAACUGAGACACGGUCCAGACUCCUACGGGAGGUAGCAGUGGGGAAUAUUGGACAAUGGGCGCAAGCCUGAUCCAGCCAUACCGCGUGGGUGAAGAAGGCCUUCGGGUUGUAAAGCCCUUUUGUUGGGAAAGAAAAGCAGCAGGUUAAUACCCCGCUGUUCUGACGGUACCCAAAGAACAAGCACCGGCUAACUUCGUG
This 492-nucleotide ribosomal RNA is filed under the name uncultured bacterium. Its description in RNAcentral is "partial 16S ribosomal RNA". It matches the Rfam family "Bacterial small subunit ribosomal RNA", at positions 29 to 507 of the family's 1533-position model. The record is from RNAcentral.